Molecule: transfer RNA, 66 nt
Filed under: Ceriodaphnia dubia
Lineage: Eukaryota; Metazoa; Arthropoda; Branchiopoda; Diplostraca; Daphniidae
Description: tRNA-Phe
Rfam family: tRNA
About the family: Transfer RNA (tRNA) molecules are approximately 80 nucleotides in length. Their secondary structure includes four short double-helical elements and three loops (D, anti-codon, and T loops).
Source: RNAcentral
GUCCUUAUAGCUUAAAAUUAAAGCAUAGCACUGAAGAUGCUAAUAUAAACUUUUGUUUUAAGGACA